This 245-nucleotide ribosomal RNA is filed under the name uncultured bacterium. Its description in RNAcentral is "partial 16S ribosomal RNA". It matches the Rfam family "Bacterial small subunit ribosomal RNA", at positions 15 to 233 of the family's 1533-position model. The record is from RNAcentral.
GAUCAUGGCUCAGGAUGAACGCUGGCGGCGUGCUUAACACAUGCAAGUCGAACGAAGCACUUUAUUUGAUUUCCUUCGGGACGUGAUUAUUUUGUUGACUGAGUGGCGGACGGGUGGAGUAACGCGUGGGUAACCGUGCCUUGUACAGGGGGAGUAACAGUUGGAAACGGACUGCUAAUACCGCAUAAGCGCACAGCAUCGCAUGAUGCAGUGUGAAAAACUACCGGUGGUAUAAGAUGGACCCG